Molecule: ribosomal RNA, 481 nt
Filed under: uncultured bacterium
Lineage: Bacteria
Description: bacterial SSU rRNA
Rfam family: Bacterial small subunit ribosomal RNA
Source: RNAcentral
UACAGGACGAACGCUGGCGGCACGCUUAACACAUGCAAGUCGAACGGAGUUAUUGGAGCUUGCUCUGAAUAACUUAGUGGCGGACGGGUGAGUAACACGUGAGCAACCUGCCUUUGAGAGUGGAAUAGCUUCUGGAAACGGAUGGUAAUACCGCAUAACAUUACCGGACCGCAUGAUCUGGUAAUCAAAGAUUUAUCGCUCAAAGAUGGGCUCGCGCCUGAUUAGAUAGUUGGUGGGGUAACGGCCUACCAAGUCGACGAUCAGUAGCCGGACUGAGAGGUUGGACGGCCACAUUGGGACUGAGACACGGCCCAGACUCCUACGGGAGGCAGCAGUGGGGAAUAUUGCACAAUGGGCGGAAGCCUGAUGCAGCGAUGCCGCGUGGAGGAAGAAGGUUUUCGGAUUGUAAACUCCUUAUCUGAGGGACGAUAAUGACGGUACCUCAGGAGAAAGCUCCGGCUAACUACGUGCCAGCCGCCGC